Long non-coding RNA from Xiphophorus maculatus (southern platyfish), 304 nucleotides. RefSeq lists it as uncharacterized. The record is from RefSeq and is a predicted model, not a curated record. The transcript is spliced from 3 exons. NCBI's taxonomy places the organism in Eukaryota, Metazoa, Chordata, Actinopteri, Cyprinodontiformes, Poeciliidae.
GACAUUUUGGACUGCCUUGCAAAAGAUGACACGAAUGAAAGGAGAAGGGUUGCUGCUCUGCUUGGUUUGCCACGCUACAUAUCUGGGGAAGAUCCAUCAACUGUCAUCAGGAUGUGUGAUGCUCAUGCUGAUAUUCUGGAUGAUGCCAUGAAGGGGAUGCAGGUUGGUCUCCUGAUUGCCUGUGAAGGUAGUGAACUGGGGGCCAUCCCACACGAGGUCUUCGACGUGGCAGUUGUGGUGGAGGAGACCAUUGUGCUUCACAACAUUAAAGAUGUGACACUUGGCUUUGCUAUGCUUAUGGGUG